UGGGGUGUGGCCAAGUGGUAAGGCGGCGGACUUUGAAUCCGCAAUGCGUUGGUUCGAUCCCAGCCACCCCAG
This 72-nucleotide transfer RNA is filed under the name Chloroflexota bacterium. RNAcentral describes it as "tRNA-Gln". It matches the Rfam family "tRNA". From Rfam's summary of the family: Transfer RNA (tRNA) molecules are approximately 80 nucleotides in length. Their secondary structure includes four short double-helical elements and three loops (D, anti-codon, and T loops). Further hydrogen bonds mediate the characteristic L-shaped molecular structure. tRNAs have two regions of fundamental functional importance: the anti-codon, which is responsible for specific mRNA codon recognition, and the 3' end, to which the tRNAs corresponding amino acid is attached (by aminoacyl-tRNA synthetases). tRNAs cope with the degeneracy of the genetic code in two manners: having more than one tRNA (with a specific anti-codon) for a particular amino acid; and 'wobble' base-pairing, i.e. permitting non-standard base-pairing at the 3rd anti-codon position. Lineage: Bacteria; Bacillati; Chloroflexota. The record is from RNAcentral. RNAcentral also lists the same sequence under 1 other name.